Molecule: RNA transcript, 815 nt
Organism: Drosophila novamexicana
Lineage: Eukaryota; Metazoa; Arthropoda; Insecta; Diptera; Drosophilidae
Gene: Eaf6
Gene name: chromatin modification-related protein MEAF6
Exons: 4
Source: RefSeq, a predicted model, not a curated record
AGAAUCGAUACACACAGCUAGCUGCGCACACAAAUCGCCAGAAGUAAAUAACAAAACGCAUCUAAACAGCAAAAAAUGAGUUCCCCAACGAGUAAGAAUGCUAGUGAAACGAACAAUAGUAGCAACAAGCCAAAGAAGUCGGCCAAAACGAAUUCCAAUGGCAAGGGCGGCACCAUGGACACGCGCGGAGAAUUGGCGGAUCUAAUCAAGAAGAAGGCAGAAACUUCGGAACAACUGGCCAACCUAGAGCGACAGAUUUACGCCUUCGAGGGCUCCUACCUGGAGGACACACAGCUCUGUGGCAACAUCAUACGCGGCUGGGAGCGCUACCUCACCUCCAACAAGGCCACCAACUCGAAGGCGGACAAACGCAAUCGCAAAUUCAAAGAUGCUGAGCGCCUCUUCUCCAAGUCCAGCAUUACCUCAAUGGCCAUAUGCAAUCCUGAGCGCGCCAGCGAAUCGGAUUCCAUAACGAAUGAAGACUCCAGCGACAAUCAGAUCUCAAUUAACCAGAACACAACAACUGCUCACGAUGGGGCUACAUCAAUUAAGACGCAGGAUGAAAAGGGUAAGGCGUGGCAAGACGAGGUGGGCGAGAUCAGUGUGACGGAUUGAAGAUGAUGAGCAAGAAGUUUGAACGUGUGCUGUGAUAUGUGUCGGUGCUUUAACUGAAUGUCAAGAAAAUUGAUGAAGCCUUUAUAACUAUAAGUUAACUUAAGAAGUGAACUAACAGAUUCGCCGUCCCAUCGAAACGAGUCGGGAAGCGUUGUCGGCUCAAGCAGCAGCAACAAGGAUCUACCCGGCACGCCCACCAC